Castor canadensis (American beaver) is the source of this 358-nucleotide non-coding RNA. NCBI's taxonomy places the organism in Eukaryota, Metazoa, Chordata, Mammalia, Rodentia, Castoridae. The record is from RefSeq and is a predicted model, not a curated record.
UGACAACGGGGCUAAGUGACCUUGGACUGAAACUUCUGAAACUGGCUGCAGUAACUGGAGGAUGGGAGCUGGAGACUGAUGUGACAGUCAGUGUAUAUUUUACACUUAGAGCACAUCUCAAUUUGCUAGCUGUACGUGGCUAGUGGCUACUGUGUUAGAUGACUCAGAAGUUGCUGAUGUACAAGUCUUUCUUCAUGUCCAGAUUCAAAAUCUACAAAGGGCUCCUAGGUAUCCACCACUGGGCUGCAUUUUGAAAGCUAAAAAACACUAACUUAUUCACAAGAAGAGCCUAAUGCUCUCUCCACCUGCACCCAUCAUGCUCCUCUUUGUAUUCCUCUUCCCUAACUUUUAAUAAAGU